Molecule: ribosomal RNA, 301 nt
Filed under: uncultured bacterium
Lineage: Bacteria
Description: partial 16S ribosomal RNA
Rfam family: Bacterial small subunit ribosomal RNA
Source: RNAcentral
CAGCCGCCACGGGAAUACGUAGGUGGCAAGCGUUAUCCGGAAUUAUUGGGCGUAAAGGGCUCGCAGGCGGUUUCUUAAGUCUGAUGUGAAAGCCCCCGGCUCAACCGGGGAGGGUCAUUGGAAACUGGGAAACUUGAGUGCAGAAGAGGAGAGUGGAACUCCACGUGUAGCGGUGAAAUGCGUAGAGAUGUGGAGGAACACCAGUGGCGAAGGCGACUCUCUGGUCUGUAACUGACGCUGAGGAGCGAAAGCGUGGGGAGCGAACAGGAUUAGAUACCCCAGUAGUCCCUGUCUCUUAUAA